RNAcentral lists this ribosomal RNA (506 nucleotides) under uncultured bacterium. Its description in RNAcentral is "bacterial SSU rRNA". It matches the Rfam family "Bacterial small subunit ribosomal RNA", at positions 1 to 507 of the family's 1533-position model. The record is from RNAcentral.
ACACGAGUUUGAUCCUGGCUCAGGAUGAACGCUAGCGGCAGGCCUAAUACAUGCAAGUCGAACGGAUAUAUGUUUUUCGGAAUAUAUAUUAGUGGCGCACGGGUGAGUAACACGUACAUAACUUGCCCUCAAGCGGGGGAUAGCCUUGGGAAACUGAGAGUAAUACCCCAUAGAAUUAUUGGACGGCAUCGUUUGAUAAUUAAAACUACGGUGCUUGGGGAUAGAUGUGCGUCUGAUUAGCUAGUUGGUGAGGUAACUGCUCACCAAGGCGACGAUCAGUAGGGGGGCGUGAGAGCGUGGCCCCCCACACGGGCACUGAGACACGGACCCGACUCCUACGGGAGGCAGCAGUAAGGAAUAUUGGUCAAUGGAGGGAACUCUGAACCAGCCAUGCCGCGUGAAGGAUGACGGCCCUCUGGGUUGUAAACUUCUUUUGGAUGGGGCGAAAAAACGGGAUUUAUCCUGGACUGACGGUACCAUCAGAAUAAGCACCGGCUAACUCCGUG